UCCGGUCCUUCCAAGGAACAAAAAAAUUUCUACUCGGGGAGAGGUGGUAAGAGAAAAGCAACGAAAAUCCAUCCUAAAGUCUUCAAACUGACUAAAGAUAUUGAUUCCUACCUUGCUGAUGAAUCCGAUGACUAGUAUCCAUAACUUGUUACUUUUUAAUUAGAUGAUAUAGGAUAACUUUAUUCUAAAAUUAGUUUAGUUUAUAUUGUUCCAUUACUAUUAUUUAUAACUAUAUCGUUCAGCUUAUUUUUGUCAUUUUGGCGUAAAUUGUUUAUGAUACUUUGUAAAGUAUCAAUAUUAUUUUAUGCUGCUAUUAGUAUUACUAUUUUAUUUCCUCAAUAAAUGGUUUUAUUAACGUAAA
Molecule: long non-coding RNA, 361 nt
Organism: Melitaea cinxia (Glanville fritillary)
Lineage: Eukaryota; Metazoa; Arthropoda; Insecta; Lepidoptera; Nymphalidae
Exons: 3
Source: RefSeq, a predicted model, not a curated record